ACGGGUAGCCGGCCUGAGAGGGUGACCGGCCACACUGGGACUGAGACACGGCCCAGACUCCUACGGGAGGCAGCAGUGGGGAAUAUUGCACAAUGGGCGAAAGCCUGAUGCAGCGACGCCGCGUGAGGGAUGACGGCCUUCGGGUUGUAAACCUCUUUCAGCACGGAAGAAGCGAAAGUGACGGUACGUGCAGAAGAAGCGCCGGCUAACUACGUGCCAGCAGCCGCGGUAAUACGUAGGGCGCAAGCGUUGUCCGGAAUUAUUGGGCGUAAAGAGCUCGUAGGCGGUUUGUCGCGUCUGCUGUGAAAGCCCGGGGCUUAACCCCGGGUGUGCAGUGGGUACGGGCAGACUUGAGUGCAGUAGGGGAGACUGGAAUUCCUGGUGUAGCGGUGAAAUGCGCAGAUAUCAGGAGGAACACCGAUGGCGAAGGCAGGUCUCUGGGCUGUUACUGACGCUGAGGAGCGAAAGCAUGGGGAGCGAACAGGAUUAGAUACCCUGGUAGUCCAUGCCGUAAACGUUGGGCACUAGGUG
RNAcentral lists this ribosomal RNA (531 nucleotides) under Kocuria rhizophila. RNAcentral describes it as "bacterial SSU rRNA". It matches the Rfam family "Bacterial small subunit ribosomal RNA", at positions 279 to 822 of the family's 1533-position model. Lineage: Bacteria; Bacillati; Actinomycetota; Actinomycetes; Micrococcales; Micrococcaceae. The record is from RNAcentral.